This 800-nucleotide ribosomal RNA is filed under the name uncultured bacterium. RNAcentral's name for it is "bacterial SSU rRNA". It matches the Rfam family "Bacterial small subunit ribosomal RNA", at positions 8 to 827 of the family's 1533-position model. The record is from RNAcentral.
AGAGUUUGAUCCUGGCUCAGGACGAACGCUGGCGGCGUGCUUAACACAUGCAAGUCGAGCGAUGAAGCCCUUCGGGGUGGAUUAGCGGCGGACGGGUGAGUAACACGUGGGUAACCUGCCUCAAAGAGGGGGAUAGCCUCCCGAAAGGGAGAUUAAUACCGCAUAACAUUAGUUUUUCGCAUGGAGAACUAAUUAAAGGAGUAAUCCGCUCUGAGAUGGACCCGCGGCGCAUUAGCUAGUUGGUGAGGUAACGGCUCACCAAGGCGACGAUGCGUAGCCGACCUGAGAGGGUGAUCGGCCACAUUGGAACUGAGACACGGUCCAGACUCCUACGGGAGGCAGCAGUGGGGAAUAUUGCACAAUGGGCGAAAGCCUGAUGCAGCAACGCCGCGUGAGUGAUGAAGGCCUUCGGGUUGUAAAGCUCUGUCUUUUGGGACGAUAAUGACGGUACCAAAGGAGGAAGCCACGGCUAACUACGUGCCAGCAGCCGCGGUAAUACGUAGGUGGCAAGCGUUGUCCGGAUUUACUGGGCGUAAAGGAUGCGUAGGCGGAUUUUUAAGUGAGAUGUGAAAUUCCCGAGCUUAACUUGGGAGCUGCAUUUCAAACUGGAAGUCUAGAGUGCGGGAGAGGAAAGUGGAAUUCCUAGUGUAGCGGUGAAAUGCGUAGAGAUUAGGAAGAACACCAGUGGCGAAGGCGACUUUCUGGACCGUAACUGACGCUGAGGCAUGAAAGCGUGGGUAGCAAACAGGAUUAGAUACCCUGGUGGUCCACGCCGUAAACGAUGAGUACUAGGUGUAGGA